This 406-nucleotide ribosomal RNA is filed under the name uncultured soil bacterium. RNAcentral's name for it is "bacterial SSU rRNA". It matches the Rfam family "Bacterial small subunit ribosomal RNA", at positions 975 to 1375 of the family's 1533-position model. The record is from RNAcentral.
CAGGGCUUGACAUGCACGGUGCAGCGCGAGAGAUCGCGUGUCCUUUGGGGUCGUGCACAGGUGGUGCAUGGUUGUCGUCAGCUCGUGUCGUGAGAUGUUGGGUUAAGUCCCGCAACGAGCGCAACCCUCGUCCUGUAUUGCCAGCAGCACCUUCGGGUGGCUGGGGACUUGCGGGAGACUGCCGGGGUCAACUCGGAGGAAGGUGGGGAUGACGUCAAAUCAUCAUGCCCCUUAUGUCCUGGGCUGCACGCAUGCUACAAUGGCCGGUACAAAGGGCUGCGAUGCCGUGAGGCGGAGCGAAUCCCGGAAAGCCGGUCUCAGUUCGGAUCGGGGUCUGCAACUCGACCCCGUGAAGUCGGAGUCGCUAGUAAUCGCAGAUCAGCAACGCUGCGGUGAAUACGUUCCC